Molecule: ribosomal RNA, 254 nt
Filed under: uncultured bacterium
Lineage: Bacteria
Description: partial 16S ribosomal RNA
Rfam family: Bacterial small subunit ribosomal RNA
Source: RNAcentral
UACGGGGGGAGCAAGCGUUGUUCGGAUUUACUGGGCGUAAAGGGCGCGUAGGCGGCCACCGCAAGUCGACUGUGAAAUCUCUGGGCUUAACCCAGAAAGGUCAGCCGAUACUGCGGGGCUAGAGUGCAGAAGGGGCAACUGGAAUUCUCGGUGUAGCGGUGAAAUGCGUAGAUAUCGAGAGGAACACCUGCGGCGAAGGCGGGUUGCUGGGCUGACACUGACGCUGAGGAGCGAAAGCGUGGGGAGCAAACAGG